This 497-nucleotide ribosomal RNA is filed under the name uncultured bacterium. RNAcentral's name for it is "partial 16S ribosomal RNA". It matches the Rfam family "Bacterial small subunit ribosomal RNA", at positions 28 to 507 of the family's 1533-position model. The record is from RNAcentral.
GAUGAACGCUGGCGGCGUGCCUAAUACAUGCAAGUCGAGCGAACAGACGAGGAGCUUGCUCCUCUGACGUUAGCGGCGGACGGGUGAGUAACACGUGGAUAACCUACCUAUAAGACUGGGAUAACUUCGGGAAACCGGAGCUAAUACCGGAUAAUAUAUUGAACCGCAUGGUUCAAUAGUGAAAGACGGUUUUGCUGUCACUUAUAGAUGGAUCCGCGCCGCAUUAGCUAGUUGGUAAGGUAACAGCUUACCAAGGCAACGAUGCGUAGCCGACCUGAGAGGGUGAUCGGCCACACUGGAACUGAGACACGGUCCAGACUCCUACGGGAGGCAGCAGUAGGGAAUCUUCCGCAAUGGGCGAAAGCCUGACGGUGCAACGCCGCGUGAGUGAUGAAGGUCUUCGGAUCGUAAAACUCUGUUAUUAGGGAAGAACAAAUGUGUAAGUAACUAUGCACGUCUUGACGGUACCUAAUCAGAAAGCCACGGCUAACUACGUG